Molecule: ribosomal RNA, 875 nt
Filed under: Kodamaea ohmeri
Lineage: Eukaryota; Fungi; Ascomycota; Pichiomycetes; Serinales; Debaryomycetaceae
Description: LSU rRNA
Rfam family: Eukaryotic large subunit ribosomal RNA (bases 178-875)
Source: RNAcentral
ACGAAUCGCAGCUCUCGGAAUCAUCGAAUCUUUGAACGCACAUUGCACCAUUGGGUAUUCCCAAUGGUAUGCUUGUUUGAGCGAAUACUUCCCUAAUCCUCACGGAUUGUAUUGUGUUUGCACGAAAAUAAUGACGACAGUACUCUACAAAACGGUACCGUCAGUACACUCAUUUUUUUUCCUCAAAUCAAGUAGGACUACCCGCUGAACUUAAGCAUAUCAAUAAGCGGAGGAAAAGAAACCAACAGGGAUUGCCUCAGUAACGGCGAGUGAAGCGGCAAAAGCUCAAAUUUGAAAUCCCCCCGGGGAGUUGUAAUUUGAAGAUUGCGUCUUGGAGGCGACCGUGUCUAUGUUCCUUGGAACAGGACGUCACAGAGGGUGAGAAUCCCGUGCGGCACGGCCCCCGGCUCCUUAUAAGGCGCUCUCGACGAGUCGAGUUGUUUGGGAAUGCAGCUCAAAGUGGGUGGUAAAUUCCAUCUAAAGCUAAAUACAGGCGAGAGACCGAUAGCGAACAAGUACAGUGAUGGAAAGAUGAAAAGCACUUUGAAAAGAGAGUGAAACAGCACGUGAAAUUGUUGAAAGGGAAGGGCAUGCCGUCAGAUUGUCAGUGUGGGUAAGAAGCGGGGUACAAAGACUGUGGAACGUGGCCCUCGGGUGUUAUAGCCGCAGUUCAUGCCCCGUCUCUUUCCGAGGCCUGCUUUGAGGACACCGACGUAAUGACGGUACGCCGCCCGUCUUGAAACACGGACCAAGGAGUCUAACGUCUAUGCGAGUGUGUGGGUGUCAAACCCAAACGCGUAAUGAAAGUGAACAGAUGAGUUUCAUCAUCGACCGAUCCUGAAGUGUUCGGAUGGAUUUGAGUAAGAGCAUAGCUG